This is a long non-coding RNA of Balaenoptera acutorostrata (minke whale), 513 nucleotides long. RefSeq lists it as uncharacterized. Lineage: Eukaryota; Metazoa; Chordata; Mammalia; Artiodactyla; Balaenopteridae. The transcript is spliced from 4 exons. The record is from RefSeq and is a predicted model, not a curated record.
GAUCUCUUGUGAUCUCCACUGCUGAGUCAAACUAAAUGAACUGUUUUUAAAUUUAGGUAGGCCCCCUGAGGACACAGGCUGCAUUUCAUUUCUUUAAAAAACCUUUCCCAAGAACUUACCCUGGGCCGCACUAGGGAUGCAAAGAUUCAAACAAGGGUCCUUAGUCUUGAGGAAGAAGUGAAGUGGGGAAGACAGAAGUAACUACAGAUCUGCCUUCCCCACUUGAAUUCUCGAUAACUUUCAAGAGCCAGGUGAGAAGAGGGCAGUGCUAUAGGAAGAGUGACCACUGGAGAUAUGCCAGAGUGCUAUGGCGAAUGCCACCAAGUCCAUGGGUCUGGCAAUGAUGGGCAAAUGAAGAUGGAUUUCUUGGAGCCCAGCUAACGGAAACCUUCAACAUUGAGCAACCUUCUGGCUUGGAGAAAAACUAAGUGCAUACUUGCCUAUAUUCCAAAACCAAGAUGAUGUAUACUUCCAAUCGAACAGAUGUGGUCAGCUGUUGAUUGGGCCCAGAGG